AAACCAACAGGGAUUGCCCUAGUAACGGCGAGUGAAGCGGCAACAGCUCAAAUUUGAAAUCUGGCCUCGGCCCGAGUUGUAAUUUGCAGAGGAUGCUUCUGGCGCGGUGCCUUCCGAGUUCCCUGGAACGGGACGCCACAGAGGGUGAGAGCCCCGUAUGGUCGGACACCAAGCCUGUGUGAAGCUCCUUCGACGAGUCGAGUAGUUUGGGAAUGCUGCUCUAAAUGGGAGGUAAAUCUCUUCUAAAGCUAAAUACCGGCCAGAGACCGAUAGCGCACAAGUAGAGUGAUCGAAAGAUGAAAAGCACCUUGAAAAGGGGGUUAAAUAGUACGUGAAAUUGUUGAAAGGGAAGCACUUAUGACCAGACUUGGGCCGGGCGGCUCAUCAGGGGUUCUCCCCUGUGCACUCCGCCCGGCACAGGCCAGCAUCGGUUCCCGUGGGGGGAUAAGACCGUCAGGAACGUAGCACCCUCCGGGGUGUGUUAUAGCCUGGCGGACGAUACCCCCGUGGGGACCGAGGUCCGCGCUCCGCAAGGAUGCUGGCGUAAUGGUCAUCAGUGAC
Molecule: ribosomal RNA, 561 nt
Filed under: Phomopsis sp. OTU4 TS-2013
Lineage: Eukaryota; Fungi; Ascomycota; Sordariomycetes; Diaporthales; Diaporthaceae
Description: eukaryotic LSU rRNA
Rfam family: Eukaryotic large subunit ribosomal RNA
Source: RNAcentral